GCCCGUCUAGCUCAGUCGGUAGAGCGCAAGGCUCUUAACCAUGUGGUCCUGGGUUCAAGUCCCAGGGUGGGCG
This 73-nucleotide transfer RNA is filed under the name Ipomoea nil (Japanese morning glory). It matches the Rfam family "tRNA". From Rfam's summary of the family: Transfer RNA (tRNA) molecules are approximately 80 nucleotides in length. Lineage: Eukaryota; Viridiplantae; Streptophyta; Magnoliopsida; Solanales; Convolvulaceae. The record is from Rfam by way of RNAcentral.